RNAcentral lists this ribosomal RNA (247 nucleotides) under uncultured bacterium. RNAcentral describes it as "partial 16S ribosomal RNA". It matches the Rfam family "Bacterial small subunit ribosomal RNA", at positions 15 to 256 of the family's 1533-position model. The record is from RNAcentral.
GAUCAUGGCUCAGGAUGAACGCUGGCGGCGUGCUUAACACAUGCAAGUCGAACGGACUUUACAUGAAGCCUAGCGAUUGUAAAGUUAGUGGCGGACGGGUGAGUAACGCGUGAAUAACCUGCCCUGUACCGGGGGACAACAGUUGGAACGGCUGCUAAUACCGCAUAAGCGCACGGUUCCGCAUGGAACAGUGUGAAAAACUCCGGUGGUACAGGAUGGAUUCGCGUCUGAUUAGCCAGUUGUGGGG